GACGAACGCUGGCGGCGUGCUUAACACAUGCAAGUCGAGCGGUAAGGCCCUUUCGGGGUACACGAGCGGCGAACGGGUGAGUAACACGUGGGUGACCUGCCCUCAGCUCUGGGAUAAGCCUGGGAAACCGGGUCUAAUACCGGAUAUGACUCCAUGACGCAUGUUGUGGGGUGGAAAGCCUUGUGCGGCUGAGGAUGGGCCCGCGCCUAUCAGCUUGUUGGUGGGGUGAGGCCUACCAAGGCGACGACGGGUAGCCGGCCUGAGAGGGCGACCGGCCACACUGGGACUGAGACACGGCCCAGACUCCUACGGGAGGCAGCAGUGGGGAAUCUUGCGCAAUGGGCGAAAGCCUGACGCAGCGACGCCGCGUGAGGGAUGACGGCCU
Molecule: ribosomal RNA, 385 nt
Filed under: uncultured bacterium
Lineage: Bacteria
Description: bacterial SSU rRNA
Rfam family: Bacterial small subunit ribosomal RNA
Source: RNAcentral